CAGCGCGACACCGCAGCCACGGCCACGGCCACGGCCACGGCCGACUGCCGAGCACCUGCGACGUGGCCGGGGUGCCUGAGGAGCGGAACUGCUUGCCUUAGCUGACUUUAAAUUUAAGGAGCCACAGGUGGCUAGUGGCUGCCGAAUCGCGCAGUGCAGUUUCACGCCCACAAGUAACCCCACGAAUGUAUAUGCUCUCCUGCAUCUCAAGCGGUUGAACUGUGUCAGGGAAAGAAGUGUCCUCGUUCUCAGUUCUGCAAAUCCUCAUAACCCUCGAGGGAUUACUGCCCUCAAGACAGGACAGCUGAGUGAAAAUCCCGGUCCUGGACCACGGCUGGCUUGCCGGGGUCUUGCGUUAGCUGUAAUCUGCUUUCCCUCAUCUGUCGCCCUCCGGACUGCAAACUUGAGUGGAAGGAAGGAUGCACCUGAGACCCUCCUGUUACCAAAUGUCCCCCAUGACACCUCUGUCAGGGUAUUCCUGCUGCUGCCCGAUAUCCAGGUCCAAGACAAAUCUUCAUUCCAGCAGGAAAAAAAA
Molecule: non-coding RNA, 535 nt
Organism: Vicugna pacos (alpaca)
Lineage: Eukaryota; Metazoa; Chordata; Mammalia; Artiodactyla; Camelidae
Source: RefSeq, a predicted model, not a curated record